UAACGAUUAACUUAAGGGUUCU
RNAcentral lists this non-coding RNA (22 nucleotides) under Arabidopsis thaliana (thale cress). The record is from RNAcentral. Lineage: Eukaryota; Viridiplantae; Streptophyta; Magnoliopsida; Brassicales; Brassicaceae.